UACGGAGGAUGCAAGCGUUAUCCGGAAUCAUUGGGCGUAAAGCGUCCGCAGGUGGCACUUCAAGUCUGCUGUCAAAGGUCGGGGCUUAACUCCGAACAGGCAGUGGAAACUGAAGCGCUCGAGUGCGGUAGGGGCAGAGGGAAUUCCUGGUGUAGCGGUGAAAUGCGUAGAGAUCAGGAAGGACACCGGUGGCGAAAGCGCUCUGCUAGGCCGCAACUGACACUCAGGGACGAAAGCUAGGGGAGCGAAUGGG
This 253-nucleotide ribosomal RNA is filed under the name uncultured bacterium. Its description in RNAcentral is "partial 16S ribosomal RNA". It matches the Rfam family "Bacterial small subunit ribosomal RNA", at positions 524 to 776 of the family's 1533-position model. The record is from RNAcentral.